Molecule: ribosomal RNA, 498 nt
Filed under: uncultured organism
Description: bacterial SSU rRNA
Rfam family: Bacterial small subunit ribosomal RNA
Source: RNAcentral
GAUGAACGCUGGCGGUGUGGAUAAGGCAUGCAAGUCGAACGGGACUAAUCAUCGGAAGUAUGGAGCGAGGUCGAGUAGCAAUACAAGAACAAGCAAAGUAUGGAAGAUGACAGUCUAGUGGCAAACGAGGUAGUAAUAUUUUGGAAUCUCCCCCGAAGUCUCAAAUAGCCCGCCGAAAGGCGGAGUAAUAUGAGAUGGUCUCGCAAGAGUAAAGAUUCAUCGCUUCGGGAUGAGCCAGAACAGUAUCAGGUAGUUGGUAGGGUAAUGGCCUACCAAGCCUAUGACGCUUAGGAGAGCUGAGAGGCUGACCUCCACCGAUGGGACUGAGACACGGCCCAUACACCUACGGGUGGCUGCAGUCGAGAAUCUUCCGCAAUGGGCGAAAGCCUGACGGAGCGACACCGCGUGAUGGAUGAAGUGCUUCGGUAUGUAAACAUCUUUUAUGAGGGAAAAAGUUUAUUGAUGGUACCUCAUGAAUAAGGACCUGCCAAACUCGUG